This 302-nucleotide unclassified non-coding RNA is filed under the name Hevea brasiliensis (rubber tree). Lineage: Eukaryota; Viridiplantae; Streptophyta; Magnoliopsida; Malpighiales; Euphorbiaceae. The record is from RNAcentral.
AUUCUCUUCUGCACUUCGUUGUUGACUGCUUCAAUUCCUGGAAUGGAAAGGGGGGGAGGAGGAACCUUCUUUUUUCUUUGCACGACUUUUUUCUGUUUGGUUGCGGCCAUUUGUGCCUCAUUUUAUUAUAUAUUAAACAAUCUUAGGUUUAUUCUUGUUGAAUGGGCAAUGGGUUGCAAAAGUGGCAUAUUAGGGGAAAAAUCAGAGUUAGAAAGUCGGCUAAGAAAUCAGAGUUAGAAAGUUAGCUAAGAAAGGGAAAGGGAAUAAAUAUUUGUGUGUUGGUGAUUGUUGCACUAAUUUUU